This 115-nucleotide ribosomal RNA is filed under the name Acanthosepion pharaonis. The record is from RNAcentral. Lineage: Eukaryota; Metazoa; Mollusca; Cephalopoda; Sepiida; Sepiidae.
CUUGCGGCCAUAUCGUCUUGAAACACCGAUCACCGUAAGAUCACUGAAGUUAAGCAACGUCGAGCCUGAUUAGUACCCAGAUGGGUGACCACUUGGGAAUACAACGUGCAGUAUG